AGUCCUUGCCCUUUUGAGUUCCUGUCCUGACUUCCUUCAGUGAUAGACUGAAAUAUGGAAUUGUAAAUUAAGAGAAUAAAGAUGACUAACUAUGAACUCUUCAGCCAUUUGGAAGUAUUUGUUAGAAUUUAGACCUGCUUGCCACCGUUCUCCAUUUCUCUGAAAUCAGGGCACACUUCACACACCCCUUUCUGUGAUGCACAGAAUUGUUGAAACUCUACUGAGCUUUGGACUCAAAUACAUUAUGUCUGGACUUCAAGGUAAGUUAAUGGUUCUCCUGGAAUCUUUAUUCUGAAUCCAUGCUGCUUGACUAGCCCAGUUUAACUACAUUAGUUCUUCCAGGCACACUCUGAAAACCUAUAACAUAUAAAAGGUCUGUGUUUUCUCCUAGGUUUUCUAAAGAGAAACAGAAAACUCCCAUAACUUUAGGUUUCCUACCAUAGUGUAGAAGGUAGCUAUAUCUCCUAUACUGUAACUUUAACUUCAUGUCCUAGUGAAGUUUUGUAAGGUCAGAGCUUUGUUGCUCUUCAAAAUCUCACCUUGCCUUUAAGGUUCCUAUCAAGCCUUUUUAUGCUUUAAGAUUCAAUCACACUCCCUCCCUAACCCUCUAGAUUACAGCAUUCUUACCUAAUAAAGUUCAUUCUGUGUGUUAUUUGUAAUCAAUUAUUUUUUCCAAACAUGCUAAUAUCUAACCAAAUUUCUGAUAAAUAGGUACCAUCUAAAGGUCAUCUCUUGCUGGAAUUUAAUCUCACAUGAUGGCAGGGAUACGUGAAGGUACUGCUAUAAUCAAGAAUCUUCUGCCCAUGGUCAUUAAAUUUCUAAAUCCUUGUGUUAGGCAUACUGACCUAACUGAUACAUACUGAUCAAUAUUGUGGUUCACAGGAAUAUUGUUUCCUUUCCUACCCUGGCAUCUUGCAUAUUUUUUUUCUGGUACUAUGCAGACAAUCAUUCAAAGAAGACUUUCAGCAUUGAAACACAGGGAGUGUACUAUUAUGUGGCAUACCUUGUUGAAAGAAGAGCAUCACUGUGAGGAGGUUGGGAUUGGAGUCUCAUAUGCUCUAUCUGCAUCCAGGGUGGCACACUAUCUCCUUCUGCUGCCUGCAGAUCAAGCUGUAGAUCUUUAGGCUCUUCCAGUACCAUGUUUGCCUGCAUACUCCAUGCUUCUCACCAUAAUGGUAAGAAUAGACUAAACCUCUUAAAUGUAAGCCCAGCCCAAUUAAUUGUUUUCCUUUUAAGACUCUUCACAGAAACAGAACCCCAACUUUGACACUGGUAGUAUACUUAGAAAAGCAUUUCUUUGGGUGCCAAUAUUGUAAAGUUGAAGAUAGCACUCAAGACAUGAAAAGCCUUAUAUAAAUGGUCUCACUGUGACAACACCGCAUCUUAUCAUUUUGAACAGUUGAUAUAAAUGUUUUAUAAACAUAUUACAAAAAUAAAGCUCAAAUCUGUAUGCUCUGUGGAAAAAAAAAGAAUAAAUUUCCAAAUGUUCUUAAUUAUAACCUUUCCAGCAAUAGUAACAGAUAAUUCUUAGUAUAAUUUUUUUCCUG
Long non-coding RNA from Mus caroli (Ryukyu mouse), 1547 nucleotides. RefSeq lists it as uncharacterized. Lineage: Eukaryota; Metazoa; Chordata; Mammalia; Rodentia; Muridae. The record is from RefSeq and is a predicted model, not a curated record.